GACGAACGCUGGCGGCGUGCUUAACACAUGCCAGUCGAACGGUGAAGCGCCUUCCUUUUUGGUGGGUGUGGAUGAGUGGCGAACGGGUGAGUAACACGUGAGUAACCUGCCCCCUUCUUCUGGAUAACCGCAUGAAAGUGUGGCUAAUACGGGAUAUUCUGGGUCUGUCGCAUGAUGGGUCUGGGACAGAUAUUGUUUCGGUGGGGGAUGGGCUCGCGGCCUAUCAGCUUGUUGGUGGGGUGAUGGCCUACCAAGGCGGUGACGGGUAGCCGGCCUGAGGGGUUGGAGGGUCGAACGGGGACUGGGACACGGCGCGGACGAGUACGGGAGGAGGCUGUGGGGGAUGGUGGACGAGAGGCGUAAGGCUGAGGGAGCGGAGCCGCGUGGGGGAUGGGGGCCGUCGGGUGGGAAGGCUCUUGCGUCGGAGAAGGAGGCCGGCCUCGAUGGUGGGUGGGUGGAGGUUAGCCGUAUAAGAAGCGCCGGCAAACUACGG
This 493-nucleotide ribosomal RNA is filed under the name uncultured bacterium. RNAcentral's name for it is "partial 16S ribosomal RNA". It matches the Rfam family "Bacterial small subunit ribosomal RNA", at positions 28 to 506 of the family's 1533-position model. The record is from RNAcentral.